RNAcentral lists this transfer RNA (87 nucleotides) under Candidatus Pelethousia sp. RNAcentral describes it as "tRNA-Leu". It matches the Rfam family "tRNA". From Rfam's summary of the family: Transfer RNA (tRNA) molecules are approximately 80 nucleotides in length. Their secondary structure includes four short double-helical elements and three loops (D, anti-codon, and T loops). The record is from RNAcentral. Lineage: Bacteria; Bacillati; Bacillota; Clostridia; Eubacteriales. RNAcentral also lists the same sequence under 1 other name.
GCCGGUGUGUUGGAAUUGGCAGACGAGGCGGACUCAAAAUCCGUUGGUAGCGAUACCGUGUGGGUUCGAGUCCCACCACCGGCACCA